Molecule: ribosomal RNA, 486 nt
Filed under: uncultured bacterium
Lineage: Bacteria
Description: partial 16S ribosomal RNA
Rfam family: Bacterial small subunit ribosomal RNA
Source: RNAcentral
AUUGAACGCUGGCGGCAUGCCUUACACAUGCAAGUCGAACGGCAGCACGGGUGCUUGCACCUGGUGGCGAGUGGCGCACGGGUGAGUAAUACAUCGGAACAUGUCCUGUAGUGGGGGAUAGCCCGGCGAAAGCCGGAUUAAUACCGCAUACGAUCCACGGAUGAAAGCGGGGGACCUUCGGGCCUCGCGCUAUGGGGUUGGCCGAUGGCUGAUUAGCUGGUUGGUGGGGUAAAGGCCUACCAAGGCGACGAUCAGUAGCUGGUCUGAGAGGACGACCAGCCACACUGGGAGUGAGACACGGACCAGACUCCUACGGGAGGCAGCAGUGGGGAAUGUUGGAAACUGGGGGGAAGCCUGAUCCAGCAAUGCAGCGUGUGUGAAGCAGGCCUUCGGGUUGUAAAGCACUUUUGUCCGGAAAGAAAUCCUUGACUCUAAUCCAGUCGGGGGAUGACGGUACCGGAAGAAUAAGCACCGGCUAACUACGUG